This 253-nucleotide ribosomal RNA is filed under the name uncultured bacterium. RNAcentral describes it as "partial 16S ribosomal RNA". It matches the Rfam family "Bacterial small subunit ribosomal RNA", at positions 524 to 776 of the family's 1533-position model. The record is from RNAcentral.
UACGUAGGGGGCCAGCGUUGUUCGGAAUUACUGGGUGUAAAGGGUUCGUAGGCGGUGCGGCAAGUUGGGAGUGAAAUCUCUGGGCUUAACCCAGAGGCUGCUCUCAAAACUGCUGUGCUUGAGUGUGAGAGAGGCUCGUGGAAUUGCAGGUGUAGCGGUGAAAUGCGUAGAUAUCUGCAGGAACACCCGUGGCGAAAGCGGCGAGCUGGAUCACUACUGACGCUGAGGAACGAAAGCUAGGGGAGCAAACAGG